GUCCGAGAGGACGGCAGCCAGCCGAACGUAGCCGAGGAGAGCUGAGACUGAGAUGAUCGUGGGCCGAACGCAGCCGAAGAGGAGCCGAGGCCACGACAGGCGCGCUCUCAGAAAGCCGAAGAGAGCCGAGCCUGAGAAGGCAAGCGUUGGCCGAACUCAGCCGAAGAAGAGCCGAGUGGAGCCGAAGAUUCAUGGAGUCACCUGUAGGGGCUGGCGCCCCCUGUCGGUGUAGCUUGCAGAUAUCAGGCUCCAUUCACGUCUCUUUUGAGUUUCCACAUCCCCUGGCACCCUAGCCUCAAGCUGCCAAAAAGCAAGGGAAGGGGAAGUAAGCCUAAGGAGCUUAAUCCCCCGACAUCGACAGUUGAAAAAGUUACUGGUCAAUAUUCCAAAUGCGCCAAGAGAUGUUGAUAUGUUGCCCAGGCUGGAGUGCAGUGGCUGUGGAAUAAGCAGAAUCAUUUACUGACUUCAGACCUCUGUUUGCCUCCCAAAGACUUCAAUACAAUAAACUAUUUUUAAAAA
Molecule: long non-coding RNA, 519 nt
Organism: Homo sapiens (human)
Lineage: Eukaryota; Metazoa; Chordata; Mammalia; Primates; Hominidae
Exons: 2
Source: RefSeq, a predicted model, not a curated record